GAUGAACGCUGACAGAAUGCUUAACACAUGCAAGUCUUUGGCGAAGCUGUGCUUGCACAGCCUAGCCAAGGCGGACGGGUGAGUAACGCGUAAGGAACUUGCCCUGCAGUCAGGGAUAACAGACGGAAACGACUGAUAAGACCUGGUAAAGUCAGGCGGACUCAUGUCCAGCCUGAUGAAAAGAGAUGCUGCAGGAGAGCCUUGCGUCCUAUUAGCUUGUUGGUGGGGUAACGGCCCACCAAGGCGAUGAUAGGUAGCCGGCCUGAGAGGGUGGACGGCCACAAGGGGACUGAGAUACGGCCCUUACUCCUACGGGAGGCAGCAGUGGGGAAUAUUGGACAAUGGGGGCAACUCUGAUCCAGCAAUUCUGUGUGCACGAUGAAGGUUUUCGGAUUGUAAAGUGCUUUCAGCAGGGAAGAAAAAAAUGACGGUACCUGCAGAAGAAGCGACGGCUAAAUACGUG
This 463-nucleotide ribosomal RNA is filed under the name uncultured bacterium. RNAcentral describes it as "partial 16S ribosomal RNA". It matches the Rfam family "Bacterial small subunit ribosomal RNA", at positions 28 to 507 of the family's 1533-position model. The record is from RNAcentral.